Molecule: microRNA, 22 nt
Filed under: Drosophila melanogaster (fruit fly)
Lineage: Eukaryota; Metazoa; Arthropoda; Insecta; Diptera; Drosophilidae
Also listed under: 1 other name
Description: dme-miR-999-5p
Gene: dme-miR-999-5p
Source: miRBase by way of RNAcentral
ACAUAGUCAUACGGUGAAUGUU